This 292-nucleotide ribosomal RNA is filed under the name uncultured bacterium. RNAcentral's name for it is "partial 16S ribosomal RNA". It matches the Rfam family "Bacterial small subunit ribosomal RNA", at positions 505 to 796 of the family's 1533-position model. The record is from RNAcentral.
GUGUCAGCCGCCGCGGUAAUACGGGGGGGGCAAGCGUUGUUCGGAAUUACUGGGCGUAAAGGGCUCGUAGGUGGCCAACCCAGUCAGACGUGAAAUCCCUCGGCUCAACCGGGGAACUGCGUCUGAUACUAGUUGGCUGGAAUCCGGGAGAGGGAUGCGGAAUUCCAGGUGUAGCGGUGAAAUGCGUAGAUAUCUGGAGGAACACCGGUGGCGAAGGCGGCAUCCUGGACCGGCAUUGACGCUGAGGAGCGAAAGCCAGGGGAGCAAACGGGAUUAGAUACCCGUGUAGUCC